RNAcentral lists this transfer RNA (76 nucleotides) under Saltatorellus ferox. RNAcentral describes it as "Planctomycetes bacterium Poly30 tRNA-Ala". It matches the Rfam family "tRNA". From Rfam's summary of the family: Transfer RNA (tRNA) molecules are approximately 80 nucleotides in length. The record is from RNAcentral. Lineage: Bacteria; Pseudomonadati; Planctomycetota; Planctomycetia.
GGGGGCUUAGCUCAGUUGGUAGAGCAUCUGCUUUGCAAGCAGAGGGUCAACGGUUCAAGUCCGUUAGCCUCCACCA